CCUACGGGAGGCAGCAGUGGGGAAUAUUGGGCAAUGGACGAAAGUCUGACCCAGCGACGCCGCGUGAGGGAUGAAGGCCUUCGGGUUGUAAACCUCUUUCAGUAGGGAAGAAGCGAAAGUGACGGUACCUAAAGAAGAAGCACCGGCUAACUAUGUGCCAGCAGCCGCGGUAAUACAUAGGGUGCAAGCGUUGUCCGGAAUUAUUGGGCGUAAAGAGCUCGUAGGUGGUUUGUUGCGUCGGGUGUGAAAUUCAGGGGCUCAACCCCUGACCUGCACUCGAUACGGGCAAGCUAGAGUUUGGUAGGGGAGACUGGAAUUCCUGGUGUAGCGGUGGAAUGCGCAGAUAUCAGGAGGAACACCAAUGGCGAAGGCAGGUCUCUGGGCCAAUACUGACACUGAGGAGCGAAAGCGCGGGGAGCGAACAGGAUUAGAUACCCUGGUAGUCCGCGCCGUAAACGAUGGGCGCUAGUUGUGGGGACCUUCCACGGUUUCUGCGACGCAGCUACGCAUAAGACGCCCGCCGUCGGGAGGUACGACGUCGCGAAGAAUUAAACUAACUAAAUAGAAGUUAGACGGCGUAGAGACGUGCCGACGGACGACGACGAGGGAGGAGG
This 614-nucleotide ribosomal RNA is filed under the name uncultured bacterium. RNAcentral describes it as "bacterial SSU rRNA". The stretch from base 1 to 522 matches the Rfam family "Bacterial small subunit ribosomal RNA", at positions 338 to 873 of the family's 1533-position model. The record is from RNAcentral.